Molecule: unclassified non-coding RNA, 222 nt
Filed under: Glomus sp.
Lineage: Eukaryota; Fungi; Glomeromycota; Glomeromycetes; Glomerales; Glomeraceae
Description: partial contains 5.8S ribosomal RNA and internal transcribed spacer 2
Rfam family: 5.8S ribosomal RNA (bases 1-72)
Source: RNAcentral
GUGAAUCAUCGAAUUUUUGAACGCAAAUUGCACUCUCCGGUUUUCCGGGAGAGUAUGCCUGUUUGAGGGUCAGCCUAAAAAAAAUCGACAUUGUUGCUGUUAUUUAAUGGUGACUUUCGUUGGAGAUUGGGUUAUCUUAAACCUUUUUUUUUUUGUUUUAACGGCUUAAAAUUUUUUUUCACGGUUCCAUUGAAGUUUCUAAGAUUUUUUUUUUUUUUUCCG